RNAcentral lists this ribosomal RNA (561 nucleotides) under uncultured bacterium. RNAcentral describes it as "partial 16S ribosomal RNA". It matches the Rfam family "Bacterial small subunit ribosomal RNA", at positions 355 to 909 of the family's 1533-position model. The record is from RNAcentral.
UGGGGAAUUUUGGACAAUGGGGGAAACCCUGAUCCAGCCAUCCCGCGUGUGCGAUGAAGGCCUUCGGGUUGUAAAGCACUUUUGGCAGGAAAGAAACGUCGCGGGUUAAUACCCCGCGAAACUGACGGUACCUGCAGAAUAAGCACCGGCUAACUACGUGCCAGCAGCCGCGGUAAUACGUAGGGUGCAAGCGUUAAUCGGAAUUACUGGGCGUAAAGCGUGCGCAGGCGGUUCGGAAAGAAAGAUGUGAAAUCCCAGAGCUUAACUUUGGAACUGCAUUUUUAACUACCGGGCUAGAGUGUGUCAGAGGGAGGUGGAAUUCCGCGUGUAGCAGUGAAAUGCGUAGAUAUGCGGAGGAACACCGAUGGCGAAGGCAGCCUCCUGGGAUAACACUGACGCUCACGCACGAAAGCGUGGGGAGCAAACAGGAUUAGAUACCCUGGUAGUCCACGCCCUAAAUGAUGUCAACUAGCUGUUGGGGCCUUCGGGCCUUGGUAGCGCAGCUAACGCGUGAAGUUGACCGCCUGGGGAGUACGGUCGCAAGAUUAAAACUCAAAGGAA